Helicoverpa zea (corn earworm) is the source of this 1456-nucleotide long non-coding RNA. RefSeq lists it as uncharacterized. Lineage: Eukaryota; Metazoa; Arthropoda; Insecta; Lepidoptera; Noctuidae. The transcript has 3 exons. The record is from RefSeq and is a predicted model, not a curated record.
ACAGAACGUACCUGUGUACCAUAUUUAUGAUUCUUGUAUUGAAAAUAAUAAUUAUUAAUACAAGUUUGAAAUUCAUUUUUCAUGAAUUACCUAAGUUUGAAUAAUGCUUGAUAAAUAUUUUUUUGAUUUAAAUAAUGGUGAAGAGAUUUUUGGGUUCCGAUUUAGAAGACAGAAAAAGAUGCUCUGUUGCAGAAUAAAAGAGCCGUUUCCACUAUCAUCACCGACUUUGGGGAGUGGUGAUGAAGCUACCUCGAGACAGAGAUACCAGCACAGAUAUUUCACCCUUUAUGCAAAACAUCCCUGAGUAACCUUCUCAUCCCGUCUACCAUCCAUAACCCAUCCCUACCCAUCCCUCAGAGGUACUUAGGUACUUCACCCUUUAUGACCUUAUCAUCCCGUCUAUAAGUGACCUUAUGAUCCAUCCGCCAUCUUCCCAAGGGGUGAUGAAUCUGAAAAGACUCAGAGGUACCAGCAUAGGUAUUUCACCCUUUAUAUACGAAUCAUACUAAAUUGCCUUAUCAUCCCAUGUAUCAUCCAUCCUCAUCCAUCCCCUGAGGGGUGAUGAAUCUGAAAAGACUCAGAGGUACCAGCAUAGAUAUUUCACCCUUUAAACAAACCACCCACUACACCCAUCCCUCAUUAUUCUAAGGUGUGAUAAAUCAGUCAAGAAUCAGAGGUACCGGCAUGGAUAUUUCACCCUUUAUGUAAAUCAGAAAAAAAUGUAUUUUCAUAAUAUCUAUCAUCGAUUGUAAUCCAAAAAAAUAUUAAUCCCCAAGAAUCAGAGGUACCAGCAUGGAUAUAUCACCCCUUAUAUACAAAUCAUACAAAAUAAUCUUUUCAUCCCUUCUAUCAUCCAUACCGUAUCAUCCCAAGUGGUGAUGAAUCUGAAAAAAAUCAGAGGUACCAGCAUAGGUAUUUCACCCUUUAUAUACAAAACAUCCAUUACUAACCUUUGCAUCCCAUCAAUCAUCCAUCCGUAUCCUUCCCUCUUCAUCUUAAGGGGAGAUGGAUCUAAACAGUCCGUCCCUUAUCAUCCCAAAUUAUGAUGAAUUAAACGAGACUCAGAGGUAUCGGCAUAGGUAUUUCACCCUUUAUAUACAAAUCAUUCAAAAUUAUCUUUUCAUCCCAUCUAUCAUCCAUCUUCAUUCAUUCUAUCCCGUCCUUUGAAGACUUUCCUUUACCAGGAAGAAACCUAAUAAUACAUCAGUUGAAGACUUCAUUGAGAAAAACAUUUCUGCGAACAGCCCACAAAACUACACAUUUCAGAAAUUCAAGAUGGCUGCUUUUCAAAACAUAUUAAGAUCUGUAUUUUGAAUAAUAUGUAAUUCUUCUAUUGUAAAUAGGAGAUGAAGGUGAUUGCAAUAUGUAAUUUCAAUAAACAUCUAUACAUAUAAUAAAUCUGUAAAAAAACUGUGUCUGUACAUUGAAUAUAUUAAAAAAAUAAUAAUUGGGUGGG